CUAAAUUCAUGUCUAAAUUAUAAACAGAUAUGGCAACACUGUUCACAAAAUUCAUGCUGCUGCAUGGCCGUUGCCCUAAACUUUAUGUUGUCCCUUAUUUUAUACAAUGCUUUUUCGUCUUAAUGUCAUUGUAUUUACUGAGAAAAUAAUUAUAAGUUUAUUUUAGACUUGAUGAAACAAAUAAAUUUUGCGAAAGGUUGAUAUUAACACAUUCACCGACACAACUGCAUAUAAUAUAGUCACUUACUCCGUAAGAUGUGGCUACAUGUGAAGCGUGUCCGUGAAUGUGUUAACAGAGUUUUUUUAUCCUGCCCUUUAACUUAAUAUCUGCAACCUCAAAAUACAGAUAUAAGACUACGCCCGGUUUCAUAAUCAGUUAAAGUGGACUUUAAGUUUUAAGUUGGUACCCUUGUCAAUGCAAUUCAUAUGGGUAAAUGUCAACGUUAAAGUGAACUUUAGUUAAUGUUCACUUUAAGUUGAUUAUGAAUAAGAAUUCAGCUACUUUAUCCAUUUAGUGAAGAUGUUUUGUUUACAAAUCUAUAAACAUUUCAUCUACAUUGCUGUAUGCUAUACCUACUAGGAUGUUUACAGAUUUGUAAACGAAAAUAUCUUCAGUAAAUGAUGAAGUAGCCAUAUUCUUUGCCUUUAUUCUCCACCGUCUAUAUCAAAUAAGGAUCACUUGAAAGUGGUGGGUUCUUCAAUCAAUAGGUAGAGAAUAAAAGAUAAAUUCGGCUACUUCAAUCCUAUCAGUAAACAUCAUCACUUCAUCUACAAAUGAGUUUGAUAAGAAACAAACAUCCAUAGAGAUAUAAAAAUGCAAUAGUUGUUACCUUAAAAAGAUAUCAACAAGAUAAGUAAUGUAGCUAGUCAAAUGAACCAUUGAAAAUGUAGGAUAUAAAUGUUUAUUAAUAUUAAAGAAGAACAGGAACCAAGAGUUACACUUCCAAAUAUUUAAUAGCUUAGCCAUAAUGUCAACUGUACUCAGUUUUUGAAAAACCUAAUGAUUUAUGUUUUUAUUUACAUUUUCAAUGGUUCAUUUGACUAGCUACAUUACUUAAAUCUUGUUAGUUGAUAUCUUUUUAAGGCAACAACUGUUGCAUUUUUAUAUCUCUAUGGAUGUUUGUUUCUUAUCAAACUCAUUUGUACAAGAACUGAUGGAAGAGAAGGUUAAUGAUUGGUUCAAGCACUUCAAAAAAAUAAAGAAAGAAAAGGGAACCAGAGGAUAUUCCUGGGGAAGUGUGGAAGGCGUCAGGAGAGAUAGGAAGAAGUUGGCUAACACGUUUAUUUAAUAGAAUUAUGGAAGUUACGACAAGUGCUAAACGAUGGAGAAGCAGUAUAUUUGUACCUGUUUAGAAAAAAAAAAUACAAUAAUGAACAAACUACAGGGUAAUAAAACUACUUAGUCACAUCAUCAAAAUAUGGGAGAGCCACAAUCAUUUUAGUUGUUGUACAAAGAUUAAUUUAACAUUUUCUCUGGAAGUAUUAAUUUGGAAAGAUAAUAUGCCUCAUUGGUGUUGUGUUUUGAAGUGUGAAAUGCAAAGUAAUCGUGAUAAAGUUAGCUUUUACCACUUACCAUCAGUGCUACAUUCUAAGCACAAAACUGAACCAAUUUAACUAAAUAAGUUAUAGUUAUCAUCUGAGAGACAACAACAAUGGUAAAAUGCAAUAAAAUAUAAAGAUUUUACUAGCAAAAUGGAAAUUCCCCUGUAAUCAUCUUAUAUCUGGUAAGUUACAACAUUUGAACAUUAACGAUUUUUGAAGAUGUUAACAGUCUAAUCUUGUAGGAAAACCAGCCGACUUAACUGAUAAUAACAAUCCAGAUUGGGUUCCUUCAAUAAAUAUGGGGUAUAUAAACACAAUGAAAUGAGUUCCCCAAAAUCUAAAAUGGGAAUUAAGGUACCAAAGGAGAAUUAAAAGAAAAGGGUACCUACAAGAAAAAAUUGCUUUUUUAUUCCUCUUGAAAUGAUUUAUAAGACACUGGACUAUAUUCACUGGUCUUAUAUUCUACAAAUACUAGAAUCAGCUGAGAGAAGUGGUCUACAAAAACCCAGGAAGGAAACGGAAUAUGUGGCUACGAAAGGCAAAAGAAAGGUUUACAAAGCAAAUGUGACACAUUUUUUUGAAAUAUUUAGGAAUAUCAGUAAAUUGCAUUAAAAAAAUGUAUGAAAAGAUUUUGUUCAAUAAAAAUGUUUAUAUUUAUCAAGGAUGUAUUAAUUGGUAUGGCCACAUAUUGUCAGUGAUGUAAUAAUACAUCCUAUCUGUUUUCUCAUGAGUUUCGUGAGACUAAAAACUUGUCUUAGGGUCACCU
RNAcentral lists this long non-coding RNA (2308 nucleotides) under Diabrotica virgifera virgifera (western corn rootworm). RNAcentral's name for it is "uncharacterized LOC126888156". Lineage: Eukaryota; Metazoa; Arthropoda; Insecta; Coleoptera; Chrysomelidae. The record is from RNAcentral.